Molecule: non-coding RNA, 113 nt
Filed under: Tiarina fusus
Lineage: Eukaryota; Ciliophora; Prostomatea; Prorodontida; Colepidae
Source: RNAcentral
AAGAAAUAAAAGAAAUAAAAUAAAAGAAAAAAGAUAGAAAAAAAAAGAAAAAAUACAGAGAUUCAUCAUCUUCUUCGUCUUCCUCAUCUUCCUCAUCUUCCUCUUCCUCCUCA